GCGCGCGGAUAUAAUUAUGACAGCGCGUACGACAUCACUUCGGGCUGCGGGGGGCUACGGAAGGAUCCUUAACAAGCGAUGACGUUGUUCAUAAAUCAUUCUAAAGCUGGAAAAAAUUCUGUUAGGGCCAAAUUUUACUCAGAUAUAUAGCAUACACGUAGACAUUUAAGAAAAACCAGAGAUUGGAUGCUGUCUAUUUUUCGGUAGCUGGUAGACAUUUUCCAAUCUCCACGGCGGUGGAAAAGCGUUGUCGGUAAAUGUCGGUGUAAAACUUUGUGGGGCUUCAGUCACGGCGGCGGAGAGCGGAGCGCUAAGAGGAUCGGCCCGCGGGAGCAGAUUACCAGGUGGACUUCCGCUUGCACGUGCCAGGAGCUAUAAAUAAGCGACGGCAGUCCGUUAUUUAGGAGCGCUGACAUAAGUCCAGAGUAAUUCCAUUUAUGACCUUCAUGCGCGUUGUAAAAUCUCCACAAAAGAGCCAUUUUUAGAGGACGGGUGUCUAAAGGGAAAACGCUGAUUAGAGCGACCCAUCCGCCAGAUUCGAGUCUCCUGAUCCUCCCAUUCCACCGGAAUUCUGAACAGUCCCUGUAGCACAGGCAGCUGCAGCAUGAAGCUGGAAGCCAGGCAAGUCGCUCCAGAUCAAGAGAUGAGCUUGUGUCGUGUUUACUGAAAGGUCUCCAAGGGAUGUUGAAUUUUUGAUGGAGGUAACGGAACAGAAAGCGCAACAGUCCAUGAUGGAAACAGUCCGAUCACAAGGUGAAAACUUAUGCCCCAUGGUACAAGGAACCAGCGAAUUCUGCCUAGCGUACACAGAGUGUUACCAGGACCGUUUCCCCCAUAGAAGUGCAUCUCUCUCUGGGACACCCCGCAGAGAUCUCAGUCCUCUCCAGCAAUCCGACUAUCCGUACAUGUACAUACAGUCUGCAGUGUUACAGAUUUAGCGCUUAUUUUCCUUGGUCAUUUUUGCAGAAACCCCCUCGUUCUGCCAAAAUAAAGAGCCACAAUCAGAUUAGUCACACCCUUCUCGCCAGAUAUCCAAACCCCGAUUUAGAGCAUCUGCGAUCAAUGGCGCUUGUACCCUGAGGGCUUGGUGAGGGCAGGUCGCUCUCCCUACUCCUGCAUGGUUUGUUCAGGGGUUCUGCAUUGGGGCUUCCAUACAGCUGCACAGCACAUCAUUUUCCUGGUCUGAUUUAGGAGCCGGCACAUCUGAUUCAGAUCACAUUACAUGACAUGA
Long non-coding RNA from Brienomyrus brachyistius, 1231 nucleotides. RefSeq lists it as uncharacterized. NCBI's taxonomy places the organism in Eukaryota, Metazoa, Chordata, Actinopteri, Osteoglossiformes, Mormyridae. The transcript is spliced from 3 exons. The record is from RefSeq and is a predicted model, not a curated record.